This 2628-nucleotide long non-coding RNA is filed under the name Marmota monax (woodchuck). The record is from RNAcentral. Lineage: Eukaryota; Metazoa; Chordata; Mammalia; Rodentia; Sciuridae.
UUAUCUGACCUCCUGCUGCCCUGUGUGAGGACUCUUGGUUAAACUGGGAUCCAGCCCUGCCUUUGUUGGGUUUCUGAGGACUUCUCAUGAACGGGAGGUAUAGUCAUCACUGGAGCUGACAGCCACUGGGGCAAAUACAUAGGCUGGUCUGUGGAACUUUCCUUAGAACAGGAGGCAACAGAACAUUACAGGCCUUUUGACACCCCUCCCCACGAAAGGGUUGACAAGCCCAGAAAGGAUCAAGUCCAGAAAUAAAAAGAAGAGGGCCCUGAUAUGCCUGGAUUAUAAGAAACUCCUGAUAAGGGUAAGAGCAGCAUCAGGCUAAGGGGAUGUAACAGCAGUCUGGUUGACAGUACUCCCCUCUGCCUUAACUUCAGCCUCAUCUCACCAAAGUCCGUUAUGCUUUCCAUCCCUUCAUGCCUUUAUUUUUAGUUUGGGGUAUUUUCUAUUGUUUGAAGGUUGCCUUGCAACCCGUUUGCCUUGAGGCUUUAAACAAUAUAGUUUCUUCGCUGAGCAGCAACAGUAGCCAAGAGAGACUGAAUAUAAACUUUUAAGUCUAUUUUCUCAGAGUUUGUACAUCAGCAAUGGCUUUAAACAGAGUAGCUCACGCCCCCAGCUUGCCUGUCCCUGGGGGAGGGGAGAGGGUGGCUGAUGGGGAACAUGUUGUGUUCUCUUAUCUUCCACGCUAGUGGAAGGGGAUAAGCACCAGAAUAGGAAAACAAAAUAUCUAGCUAUUAAUAUACUCUAGUCCUCCAGCAUGGACUGGAUCUGUUUAUUUGUGAAAGGCAAGGGUGCUUCUCCCUGACCUCUUGGAGCUCUGCCGCCAGCUGGGCGGGAAAUGGUAGAGGUGAUACCGUCCAUAAGGUGAAGGGAACAGAACCGGAGCCGAGGGUCCCAUGAAAAGAGAACUCUUCAGACUUGUGUCAAUAAAAGUGGCUUUUCUGGCUCAAUCCGCCUCAAGCCCCAGCCACCCCAUUCAGGGAAUUACCAAAGAAAGCAAGCACGGAACUAAGAGGAUUUACCAUGAAAGAGUGGCCCGGCCCCACUCCCACCACACAGGUGUCUCCACCACGUUCUUUGUGUGAAACCCAGGAAACCAGAGAACUGGGCAACCUCGCCAGAAAAGAGAACACACAGGUUCCUCAAGACAACCACUUAUUUGGCAGUGAGCAAGGCUAAAAAUGGAAUGCUUCCCAGCCCCAGAGGACAGGGGGCCAGAGGAAAGCAACCCUGCGCAGCUCCGAUCCGGGGUCCUACCUCAGCCCCUUCGUAGUCUGAGUGAAGGAGUGCCUGGUGGCAGUAGUUUUCUAGAUGGUUAGUUAAUGAUAAGCCUUCAGCUGGGAAGAGCCAGAAGGGGGAGAUUUUGUCUGGGGUGGGGAGCAUGCCCAUGCCUCUUAAGCCUGCCAUGUCACGACAGAGGUUCCACAGCACACUUUGACUGCCGAAAGAGGUCUGUCACCCACCAGGGUCAGGCCGCCUCAGGUCCCUGAGACUGUGUGACCAACCAGAAGCCCCAGCUCAAGCACUGGGAGAAGAGAGCAGCGUUGGCAAGUCCGGCCCUCUCUAAGAGCAAACAGGGACAAAGGUCCUUGUACUUACAGCUGUUUCUCCCAUCCUGCCUGCUGUGUCACAUGCCCCAGUUUGUUCUGGUGUUGCUGCAUUAGGCAGAAACCUGCCAUCUCUGUGCCUGCAGGGAUACCCACUAUCCCAGGUCUGUUCCCAGGUGGGAUACCUGAGCAGCAGCGAAGGCUUUGGCAUCCAGUAGCUUUGAAACAGAAGCUGCUGUGUCUUCACCUGUUCAGUUGGGAGCCAGAUGUCAUGAGCUAUCAUCAAAGAAUGCAUGAGAGGAAAGAAUUUGAAUAAAAGCUGGCUCCCCUACCUGUCUGAAAAAAGCGGGGCUCCGUGUGUAAACCCCAGCUCGUCAGGCAUUCUCAGAAUUUGAGCAAACUCCCUUUGUGAUUAUUUCUUAUGCUACAUUUUAUUGUCACCCAGUGUGUUUGAAUUUGUCUCUGCUCCAGCAGGUCUGGAAACCCAUUGGGUUUCUGUGUGAGAAUUCAAACAAGCGGAGGCCAUGGAGUUUGCCAAGUGUCGCCGGGCCCGGCACCAACUUGACAGGAUAGAGGGCAGGAGAAAGAAGGCUUGGACGUAAUGAAUCAUUGAGGCUCUGGCCCACAGCCUUCCUCCUGGGAUUAGUAUCAGGAGAGUCGUCUUUGUUUUUCCUUCUUUGUACCUAAGAAUGGCCUUCAGCCCCAACUGACGGGGCUGUCGCUGCUGACUUUACUGACUUCCAUACAGAUGAUGUGAUGAUCUUGUUUAAUUUCUGCCUGAAACCCAUGAGGUAGAAUCAGCACUGACCCACUUAUAGGUGAGGACCAAGGCUCAGAGAAGUUGGGUAACAACGUCUGAGUUGAUCUGCUUUGUGUAUCUGCAGUUGCGACUUGCUAGCACCCUGUUCUAAAAGGACAAAAGGAAAGAAUAUGAGGACAAUGUCUCUGUGGCUGCAGUUAUGCACAGUCUUCUUAGAGUCUGGGAAAGAGGAAAUACUGGGGAAUGAUACUGGCUAAGUUAUACUGUUAUAUCUUGUGCAUAAGAUGUAACAAUGAAUCUCACCAUUAUGGACAAUUAUAG